Long non-coding RNA from Uranotaenia lowii, 568 nucleotides. RefSeq lists it as uncharacterized. NCBI's taxonomy places the organism in Eukaryota, Metazoa, Arthropoda, Insecta, Diptera, Culicidae. The transcript is spliced from 3 exons. The record is from RefSeq and is a predicted model, not a curated record.
AAGCAGCUUUGUUUCACUUCAAACCAACAAUAAGCUUACUUGAGCCGGAUUACGUCGGAUUACAAUAGAAGAUGUUGAAUUCAAACGGUGCAUCUUGUGUACAUAAAUGAAAGUUCCUGAGUGAAUGGUUACUAGUACAAGUCCAAGACUAAAACUUGAAUAAAGACUGGAAAUAGUCCGGAAAAGGUCCAUAUUUUAAAACAGGCUACGGAAUUCAAGGAUUCAUUUCUCAACAGAAGCAUCCAUACGGAGGAACACAAUGCAUCCUCCAGCACGUGAAAUACGCGAUAUCAUUUUAAUCGGAGGUGCAACAUUGUUGCGCGUUAUUUUUUCCCCUUAAAGAUGCUUUUAUGCGCGGUUUUCGAUAACAGUCCUCCAAGUGGGAAGCAAUACCCUAACGUGAUGUUUAGUCCAGUCGGUGCGGUGCGGUGUCAUCGUGAAUUUCUGAGGAAACGAGAAAAGACACUCCAGCAAAUUGUUCGUCGAAUUGAUUCCGAUAACCCACAUUAAUCAAUUACGGUACACCGGGGUAAGUGCAAACUCGGUUCAAGUGCAAACGCUCAACUUU